UACGAAGGGGGCUAGCGUUGUUCGGAAUCACUGGGCGUAAAGCGCACGUAGGCGGCUUGUUAAGUCGGGGGUGAAAUCCUGAGGCUCAACCUCAGAACUGCCUUCGAUACUGGCGAUCUUGAGUUCGGAAGAGGUUGGUGGAACAGCUAGUGUAGAGGUGAAAUUCGUAGAUAUUAGCUAGAACACCAGUGGCGAAGGCGGCCAACUGGUCCGACACUGACGCUGAGGUGCGAAAGCGUGGGGAGCAAACAGG
RNAcentral lists this ribosomal RNA (253 nucleotides) under uncultured bacterium. Its description in RNAcentral is "partial 16S ribosomal RNA". It matches the Rfam family "Bacterial small subunit ribosomal RNA", at positions 524 to 776 of the family's 1533-position model. The record is from RNAcentral.